This is a long non-coding RNA of Ruditapes philippinarum (Manila clam), 1176 nucleotides long. RefSeq lists it as uncharacterized. Lineage: Eukaryota; Metazoa; Mollusca; Bivalvia; Venerida; Veneridae. The transcript has 4 exons. The record is from RefSeq and is a predicted model, not a curated record.
GUGUUUAUCCCAGCAAACAUGCAUAUAUGGGACCCAUAUGGGCUAUAUCUAGGCAAGCCCAUAUGGGUAUGCCCAUAUUGGACCUAUAUGGGACCAAUAUGGGCAAGUCCAUUUGGGUACGCCCAUAUUGGACCCAUAUGGGUCCCAUAUUACAGCACUAUAAGGAAAAACGAUUUUUCGUUUAUUUAUUUCUUUAGAACUUGUUUACUUUGAGCUAUAGUGUGACCACCUUGGCAUAAAUUGCUAUUAUCUUUUAUAAAAAUCGUAGCAUUAACAUAUAUACAAGCCAUGAGGGACCCAUAUGGGUCCCAUUCGGGCAACCCAAUAAAUAUUAGCAUGCCUGAGCAGGUGCGAGAAAUUAAUUUGUUUAGUUUUUAUAUUGGUUUUAAUUUUUAUAAUCUAAAUAUAAAAAUGUGUUUUUAGACUAUUAAUUCAGAAAUAAUUUAUAAAAAUCAGCAUUUGAUGAAAAAUUUAUUUCGAGCAUGCGCAGACGUGAUUUCCGCUGCCGCUUAAAAUCAAAUUGUGUAUUGAAACGUUAAAUUGUAAAAUUGUACACGAAAACAAUAUUUCAUUUCAAUUCGGAACAUUUAACGACGAUUUCGUAUAACGACCUUUCAUAUUAUAUCCUUACAGAUUUAUUGUGUGUGUAGGCCAUCAAAAAGGCUGUAUGAAUCGGAUAGUGGCACUGAUGAGAAUGAGACAGACACAGAGAGUAGGCCACCACAAGUUAUUGACCAAGCAACAACGCCCAAAGAGUCACAAAGCCUACUUUCAUCUCCGCCUCGCUUAUCUGCACAGGCAUUGCGAGAGGCCAGCAGUGAUGUGCAAAGUGCUUCUCCAAUACAAGGUGCUUCUGAUACACCCUUCCGUGGGCAGAUUAUUGGGCCCACUGCUGUUACACAGAUUCUCCGAGUCUUUGAGACAAUGCGAGAGAAGAAUCGUGAAAUUAAGAGGAUGGUGCAGCGAAUGCUGUUAAGGUCAGCAGCAGAUGACCAACCGCUGCAACUUCCGAAAGAUAUCUCAUUCCCUAUUCGUUAUCCUGAGCAGAUGGAAGCAUUCGAUAAGCUUCUGGGAGAUCAGACAAUACUCUCAUCUGUGGUGCGGUUCCUCUCAAUGUUUGGUAUGGCAGAUGUACGGGAAACUGUUGACCGCUUUUGAUGAAAGAAACCAUGUCAA